CCGCAUUGGGAUGGGCCCGCGGCCCAUUAGCUUGUUGGUGAGGUAAAGGCUCACCAAGGCAACGAUGGGUAGCUGGUCUGAGAGGACGAUCAGCCACACUGGGACUGAGACACGGCCCAG
Molecule: ribosomal RNA, 120 nt
Filed under: uncultured bacterium
Lineage: Bacteria
Description: partial 16S ribosomal RNA
Rfam family: Bacterial small subunit ribosomal RNA
Source: RNAcentral